CUUCCCGUGCUGGGACCAUUUACAAGAACUCUUACCAGUCUAACUGUCUGUCGCCACUUUAAAAAAGUAUACAAAGGUGAAAAACAGAGUAAUUGGCGAGGAUGUUAGGAAGAGAAGAAUCAAAGCAUGGUUAAUCUGAACUGAAAUGGGGCCUAGAGCUUUCAACUGGAAUAGCCAAGACAUCAAGAUAAUCUCAUGAAAGGAAGAAAAAGUAUAUAAUUUGUCAAUUAUCCUUCCCUGCUCUUCUGAUAACCAAGACCUGCGGAGAAUGUUUUGAAGUUGGAAUAUUUUUUUAAAAUGUAUUUGAGAGAGAGAGACAUCAGUGUGUUGUUCCACUUAUUUAUGUAUUCAUUGGUUGAUUCUUGUAUGUGCCCUGACCUGAGACUGAACAUGAAACCUUGGUGUAUCAGGACGAUGCUCUAACCAACUGAGCUACCCUGCCAGGGCAAAAUUAGAAUUGUUUUAGUUAAUAGGAGAAAUGCAAAUGGAGGCUUUUAUCCAUUCAUGAGCACUUUUUUCAGAUUUUAAAUAUUUAUUGCCACUGAGAGCAUAAUAUACCAUAUCAAUGAGGUCAACUGAGAUUUGAGUCUCUUAAAGGAACCCCAUAGAUAUAUUUGAAAAUACAUUGUAGUUUCUAAAAUAUCCCACAUAAAACAAUUUAAUGGCCAUGAAACAUGAUUAUCAAAAGAUAAUUGAGCUAUAUUUUAUUAAGAUUAUUCUUCAAAUAGUAUCUUCAUCUUUUAGCAAUGUUUAAAAAUCUUUUUAAAUGAUACAGGUUGAAAUUAUCUGAAGUAUACAACUUCAUAAAAUUUUCAGCUUGGGAAAUUUCCAUAAUCAGUUUCAAUUUACUUUUCUGGAUGAUGCUUAAAUACCUGUAAGGGAUCUGCAUUCAUCCAGCCUUGAGGAAUUAGUUUUCACUUAGUACUGUCAGUCUCACCGAAGUGAUACAUUAAUAUUCAUAUUAGUAAUGUAUUUAACCUGUGGAAUAAAAUGUGUAUAGUCUAGGAAUUAUUGGUAUUAAAUGUGACAUGAAUAAUCUUACUCCUGACUUAUUCUAUUUACAUUAACUUUUCCUUGAUCUUACUUUUGUUGUACAAAUUUUGUCUCAUUCACCAACAGAUUUUUAAGUAAGCUGUGGGUCUUUAUGUAAGACUACAAAGUCUGAGAUGUACUGGGGUAUAAAUAAGUAACAUAAAUUGUGUCCCCUAAGAGACCUCUGAAUAGGCCAACACCCAAGAAACCCUGAAAGUUUAUUCCUUUGCCCCAGGGUUUCCCUGGAGUAGAUCUGAACCUGAAAAUGCCUACUGCAGCAGUGUUGAUCAGGAGGUUCAAAACACCAGAAGGUUCAGUAAUGGCUAGGACUUGGCCUGGAAUUAUAUGUGGAUGUUAUAAGGUGGGACAUGAGUCUCCGUGUCGGACUGCUGACUCAGUAAGUGUACAUUGCCUUCGCCUAAAAGAGUUAUAGUGUCCUUUGAAGAAUAACAGAAAAUUCUGCAGCCUCUAUUUCGACAUCCUUCAACAUCCUCUGACUCUGAUGAAAUAGAUGCUAAAGUCAGCUUGCUUGAAGGUCUAAACUUCACGUCAGGCAGGUGCCAUAGGUUUGACGAUAUUCCCUGAGACAUACAUAAUACAUUUGCAAGUAACCAAUGUUUAAUAUUUGGCUAUAGGGGUCCUGACCCUUCAGUCCUCUAUUCCAGGGGUGGGGAACGGCUAGCCCGCCGGCCAUAUAAGGCCCAUGAAAUCAUUUGGUCUGGCCCUGCCAAGGCAUUAGGGGUGAAUUAAUUAAAUGUUUGUCCAAAUACAGCAGGCUAAUUUUUACGUUGAUAAUUUUGUAUGGCCCCCAAAUAACCUUUUAAAUAUACAAAUGGCCAUUGGCUGAAAAAAGGUUCCCCAACCCCAAAUACUAAGUCAGCAAUGUACCUGGAAGCUAGAAGUGUGCCCUUGGGGAAAAAUUGCAAAGUAUAUGAAUUAAAAGAGUUGAGAGAACUUUGGAUGGUGGAGAAUUGUUAGAGCUGCAGUUUUCUCUGCCUGUUACAGUUCUAGAUAGCUAACCGACCACCCACAGCAUUUGUCUAGACCACCUUUUCUAAAAGUAUUUCACUCAAGACUCGUCUUGGAAAAAAGUCUCUAUGGUCAAACACAUUUCAGAAACAAGCUAUACAUUAGUCCCUCUUGGUUGGUUCACAAUCACUGUGUUUGUUUUCCUAAAGGUUCUGAGAAGUCCUGUAAGAAAGAAACCUUACUUAACCCAGAGUUUCCCAAACGUAUUGGCUUUUCCCUAAAUUGCCUAUAUCCUAUGGGAGCAUUUUUGGAUAUUUCAGGUCUGUAAUGGAUACUGCUGUGGCUCAGCAUGAACAUCAGCUCCAGUUAGGCCAGUCGUCUCCUACCCAACAGCACUGGGGAUACAGUCCACAAACCCUUCUGUGCUUCCGGGGAGACGCACAGAAUCUGGAUGGAGUCAUAAGAAAACACCCAAUAUACCUACCCCUUUAAAAACAAAACAACAGUGUUUGCCAGUUGCCUCCACCUGGGUUCUUUCCCUGGGACUGAGAUGAAUGUAGUGCUAAUCUACAAUGUACCUUCCCCUCUUCCCAAAAUACAAGCAAAGGCUGCUGACUCAGCUAUAUAAUUAAAAGGAGAUAAUGCUAACUGGAAGUAAGUUACUGCAGUUCCUAAGAGCUGUAGGCAAGAACAGGAUAUUUACUAUGAAUAUUUUCAUUUUUGCGUCAAGCACUUCAUUCUUAGCAUAUGUAUUUUUACUAACCAUGAUACCAAAUAGCAAGAAAGUCGUGGGUAAGCUGUAUUGCCCCUUCUUCCGUUUGCCUCUUAAAGCAGCCCUAGGCAGUGUGGGCUUUCCCAAUCCCCCAAGCCACCACUGAAUCACCUCGUUUCUCUUUUCUACAAGUUGCCUGCCCCUUUAACAGUAACCACUUGAAAAUUAAAGUUGCCCUUAGUUUGGUUCAGGAACACAGCUGUACAGAAUGCCGGACAGAAAUAAUUUAGGAUAAGUAGAUAUCCUCUCUGUUUUCCCAAAUACCUUUAUAAAUUUUCUGCCAAACCUACAUAAUGGUUAUUAAGGAGUUGAUGUAGAAUGCGAGAACUAUGUGACAAAAAGGACACAGCUGUUUAAAGAGCUAAAAGUGAGUUUCAAGCAGAAGGAACGCAGGUGCAAAAAUCCUGAGCUAGGAACCAGCAUGUCCAGAGUAAAAGCAUAAAAGAGGCUUUAGCCAAGAGCGAACAGGAAAACAGCUGAAGCCAGAGAAAUAGGUAACUUCACCAUCAAAGGCAACGUUAACCUCCCCAGAAAUCAAUAGCAAUGUCACACUUCACUGUUGUGAGGUGCAAUGCGAGGUUUCCACUCACCAUCAUGUGUGUGGAUUAGGGACAGGUGAGCAUACUCUUUAAAAGGCCAUAAGGUUAAUCUAUAGGGGAAGGAGAUUUUAAAACUCCUUAAAAAGAAUUGAUUACCCUCUCCCCCAGAAUCUACGGUCACCUAACUUCGUUAUUCUGCCCACUGCUGUCCAAUUCUCUCGCCAAUUUCCCCCCAGUUCACUCUGCUCUAGCCACACUGGCCCCCACACUCUCCCCCUCUCUAUGUACUUCAGGGCUUUGCACUAGCUCCUCCCUCCCCUUAGAGCACUGAUCCCCAGUAUCCACAUGGCUAUCCUCACUCCCUUCAGGUGUCUGCUCCAAGUUCAUGUAUAAAGAUGGCUUCCUUGAGUAACCUAUCUCACAUAGCACCUACCACUCCGUUUUCUUCUGUCCUUGUACCAUGCUUUAUUUAUUUUUUAGCACUCAUCAUCUGACCCUAUCACCAGCUGUUCAUGUGUUUAUUGUAACAAAUUAAAAUGUAGAAUAUAAAAUGUAGAAUUUGGGCAGAACCAGAAUUUUAUCAGUUGGGUUCACAAGGCAAUGUUAUCACUGCUGCCCUUAUUUGAGAUACCUCAAAAUCUUUCACUAAAAACCAAGAGAAAUAACCAGUCACUAACACCAACGUAGAGGGAAUUUAGUGAAAUUCAUGCUGCCUACUAGGAAUCAUCCAGCUGGUCCAAAAACCCGUUCAUCGCUAUCCCAUAAAACUGGCUCUGUCUCCUAACUUCCCUUUCUUCCUGACACCACAUUAUCAGAAUCAUUUAUGGUCAGUCCUGUACAGCCUUCUUGGAUUUUUAAAUUCAUUUUUAUUAGCCCUAUUCAACCUUUCCACACUGUGUAAAUUUCAGCCUUGAAGUGGCUCAGACUUGUACAAAGCAUUCGACCAUAGAAACCUCCUCAGCAUCCUUUUUGUCUCCUCCUUUACCUCCGGCAUAUGCCUGGCUCUCCAGGCCUGUGAGCACACCACUCAAACCUGUGUUUCCACUGACGUUUCCAUACGCUGUCCUUAUCCAGGCCCUCGUUCCCCUUUUCUGGGCGAUCGUAAUGGCUUCCUACUCUAACCCUUACCUCCCAUCCCUUGCCCAACCAAUUCAUAUUAUUAAAAUACAAUAAAAACUUGGCAUAAUGUGAUAAAUGGAGUCCAUAAAUGAACUGAUUAUAUUUUUACAAGUCAGGAUACUAUUUUGGUGAGAUUACCGGGAUCAGGCUGUCUAAUACAAAUCCAUCCCAAGUCUAGACCCUUUUUUACUAGAACCAUGGAAACAGCACUGGGCAUUUUCCUUUCUUCUCUUGGAUCCUCGAUCCUAAGGGCCUUUAAGUUUGCCAUUCUUGCAUGGAUAGUGCCUGAUAAUGAGUCUUCAAUUUCUCACUGGAUUUUGGAAAAUUGUAUUUAAUUAAGGAAAAAAAGUUUAUUGGUACUUCAGCAUAAUAAUUACAUACUAUAGAAUUGUUUGGGCCUUGUAAAACGUUUAUAGAAAUAAUUUUAUUAAUAAUAGAAAAGGAUGAUUACUAACAUUUUAAAAGGAAGUUUCUCUUUAUAAAAUAAUGCCAUUUAUGGUAACCCGUUGGACUUAAAAAUGCAUUUAAAUGGUUCAAGGUAUCUUCUUGAUAAAAAAUAUGUAUGAUAAUGGAGACAGACAGUGAUAAAUAUAUAUAAUAUAGCCUUGACACUGGGUUAACUGAAUAAAUAGAAAUUAUACAGUUUUAAUAGCCAUUGUAAUGUAUGGAUGGAUAGGAAAAGAAAAACCAUCUGUGUCCAACAUUUUCUAAAUUAUUUUAGUCAAGGGAUAGAGUGCAGGCCCUGGCUGAGUAGCUCAACUGGUUAGAGCAUUGUCCUGAUACACUAAGAUUGCAGGUUCUAUCCCCAGUCAGGGCACACACAAGAAUUAACCAAUGAAUACAUAAAUAUGUGGAACAACAAAUCAACAUUUCUCUCUGUAUCUCUUGUUGUUUCACUUUCUAUGUCUGUCUCUCCCCUCCUUCCUCUUUCUCUCCCCUUUCUGCCCUCUCUCUAAAAUAAAUCAAUACUUUUAAAAUUUUUUUUUAAAAAAAGAGUCCAUAACUAGCCAAUGAAGCAGAAUUAUCAGUACUUCCUGUUUAUAUCAACUCAAAUGUAUAUAAUAUGGAAAUAUGACUUUGCCAUUCCUUAUUGAAUAAUACUUUCUUCAGAUUUCAUAAUGCUUAGUGAAUUGGCUUUUUGAAAAUUCAUGUGUGUCCAGAAUAAUGCCAAGCACACAAGAUUUAAAAAUAUGAUUGUUGCACUAAGUGAAUUUCUGUAGAAAAUAAGAUAAUUUUGCUUAAAGGAAAUUUUAGUAUUGGCCUGUUUUUUAAGGUCUAUUUCAGCCUGCCUAGUGAGUAUUACUAUAUGUCCCUGUCUACACAAAAACCAAAGCACUAGACAGGCUUUCAGCCAUCCUGCUCACCUUUCUAUUUGUAAGGUUUAACAAUCCUUACAACCUUGUCUUUAAAAGGGGAAUAUUCCCCUGGCCAGUGUGGCUCAGUUGGCUGGGCAUCAUUCUGUGCACUGAAGGUUCCUGGCUCAAUUCCCAGUCAGGGCACAUGCUUGGGUUGUGGGCGAGAUCCCUCAUAGGGGACAUGCAGGAGGCAGCAGAUUGAGAUUUCACUCUCGCAUCAAUGUUUCUCUCUCUCUCUCUCUCUCUCUCUCUCU
Molecule: long non-coding RNA, 6040 nt
Organism: Myotis daubentonii (Daubenton's bat)
Lineage: Eukaryota; Metazoa; Chordata; Mammalia; Chiroptera; Vespertilionidae
Exons: 2
Source: RefSeq, a predicted model, not a curated record